RNAcentral lists this transfer RNA (72 nucleotides) under Phycisphaerae bacterium. Its description in RNAcentral is "tRNA-Thr". It matches the Rfam family "tRNA". From Rfam's summary of the family: Transfer RNA (tRNA) molecules are approximately 80 nucleotides in length. The record is from RNAcentral. RNAcentral also lists the same sequence under 1 other name. Lineage: Bacteria; Pseudomonadati; Planctomycetota; Phycisphaerae.
GCCGCCGUAGCUCAGUGGUAGAGCGCACCCUUGGUAAGGGUGAGGUCACGGGUUCAAAUCCCGUCGGUGGCU